This 510-nucleotide ribosomal RNA is filed under the name uncultured bacterium. RNAcentral's name for it is "partial 16S ribosomal RNA". It matches the Rfam family "Bacterial small subunit ribosomal RNA", at positions 28 to 507 of the family's 1533-position model. The record is from RNAcentral.
GACGAACGCUGGCGGCGUGCUUAACACAUGCAAGUCGAACGAAGAGCGACGGAAGCUUGCUUCUAUCAAUCUUAGUGGCGAACGGGUGAGUAACGCGUAAUCAACCUGCCCUUCAGAGGGGGACAACAGUUGGAAACGACUGCUAAUACCGCAUACGAUCUAAUCUCGGCAUCGAGGAUGGAUGAAAGGUGGCCUCUACAUGUAAGCUAUCACUGAAGGAGGGGAGUGCGUCUGAUUAGCUAGUUGGAGGGGUGACGGCCCACCAAGGCGAUGGUCAGUAGCCGGUCUGAGAGGAUGAACGGCCACAUUGGGACUGAGACACGGCCCAGACUCCUACGGGAGGCAGCAGUGGGGAAUCUUCCGCAAUGGACGAAAGGCUGGCGGAGCAACGCCGCGUGAGCGAUGACGGCCUUCGGGUUGUAAAGCUCUGUUAAUCGGGACGAAAGGCCUUCUUGCGAAUAGUGAGAAGGAUUGACGGUACCGGAAGAGAAAGCCACGGCUAACUACGUG